GACGAACGCUGGCGGCGUGCUUAACACAUGCAAGUCGAACGGAAAGGCCCUGCUUUUGUGGGGUGCUCGAGGGGCGAACGGGUGAGUAACACGUGAGUAACCUGCCCUUGACUUUGGGAUAACUUCAGGAAACUGGGGCUAAUACCGGAUAGGAGCUCCUGCUGCAUGGUGGGGGUUGGAAAGUUUCGGCGGUUGGGGAUGGACUCGCGGCUUAUCGGCUUGUUGGUGGGGUAGUGGCUUACCAAGGCUUUGACGGGUAGCCGGCCUGAGAGGGUGACCGGCCACAUUGGGACUGAGAUACGGCCCAGACUCCUACGGGAGGCAGCAGUGGGGAAUAUUGCACAAUGGGCGGAAGCCUGAUGCAGCAACGCCGCGUGCGGGAUGACGGCCUUCGGGUUGUAAACCGCUUUCGCCUGUGACGAAGCGUGAGUGGCGGUAAUGGGUAAAGAAGCACCGGCUAACUACGUG
RNAcentral lists this ribosomal RNA (468 nucleotides) under uncultured bacterium. RNAcentral's name for it is "partial 16S ribosomal RNA". It matches the Rfam family "Bacterial small subunit ribosomal RNA", at positions 28 to 507 of the family's 1533-position model. The record is from RNAcentral.